This is a long non-coding RNA of Schistocerca nitens (vagrant locust), 3000 nucleotides long. RefSeq lists it as uncharacterized. The record is from RefSeq and is a predicted model, not a curated record. NCBI's taxonomy places the organism in Eukaryota, Metazoa, Arthropoda, Insecta, Orthoptera, Acrididae. The transcript is spliced from 3 exons.
UAUACUGAGACGGCGUGUUCAUCCCGAGAAAGAAAGUCAAAGUUAGUGUUCAAUACUUCGUUAUUGACCAGAAGAAAUGUCGCACAUUUACUACCUACAUUAGUGUAGUUAUGGUGGCUUGCUUAGCCCAUGGGCUGUGAUGUCUGUGAACGAGGAACAAUAAGUGUGAUCUGAUGUACAGCUCCUUCAGUCUGUAGCAUGAGCCAUUGGUUCGUACUAUUAAGUUCUUCAGAUUAAAGCUUCCCCCGGGUAUUACAUAAUUUCGUGAAUUGUUGCGUUGGGAUGAAAGGAAAUGCCGAAUUCUGUUGCAUUUGCUGCGGCCAUUUAGUGUGCUUCGAGCAUUCACCUAUUCCUACCGCUCUACAGAUCGCUAAAUCGUGUAUUGACAGAAGAACAUAGUAAUAGGCGUGUUUCAGUGUACUUUCGUAAAAACAUUUAGCAACAGGGUUUUGGAGUGUGUAACAAACGAAGUAGGUUCAGUGAGAUCUGCUAGUACGUGUAUUUUUCACUAAGUGCAUUAUUCGAUAUCAGAGAAUAGAAGAUUCGUCAUCAGUGGUACGCACGUCAGAGAAAACGUAGGCCUAUACAAGACUAUAGUCCUGGACAAUUUGAAAACCAUUUCAGUCAAAGAAGAAAAAACAGAUGAGAUGUGUGCUAAGCCAGACACCAUGAAGUGACUGUAAUGGCAGAGAUGAAAGCUGAGAGAGGGAGUUUUGUGAGCGACCUGCGCAUGCUGCUGGAAGCUUAAAAUGGCGCAGACGUGACUCUGGCGCCCAGGGGCUCGGAGCAGUCAGCACAGUCACAUCUUGGCAGGGAGGAGCCCCGUCUUCGACGCCAUGUUGUGUUUCUUGCAUGUCACUUCACAACAUAGCUGCGAACACGGGGCUUCUUGCUGGCAUGUCGCAGAUUGAGAUGCAAGAAGCAUGCAGCCACUUAGCAGAGGUAACUGACAUAAGAGAAGCUCCCUUACAGCAGUUGUGAAACAGUCCCUAACUCUACCGUAGCCUGCAUUAUAGUCAAGCAACACUGUGGACUGAACUGUCCAAAAUAACAGCAAGUGUGUUACAUUGGGAUAUGGAGUAUCUUGCGUGGAUUAUUUUGCCAUCUCUUGACCCUGAAUAUUUAUAAAAGAACCAACUCGCGAUAAUAAAAAACUACACAUCUUUCAUUAAUUGCAGCUAAAGGAUAAUUUGAAACAUAAUACAAAAACUAAAUAUCAUAAUGUCAAUCAGAUUCAUUUAGGACUAAUAAUUCUUUUUCAUAUUUCCCUUUGUGAUAUCAUACACCGAAGAGCCAAAGAAAUUGGUACACCUGCUUAAUAUCUUUUAGGGCUCUCAAGAGCAUGCAAAUGCGCUGCAGCAUGACAUGGCGUGGACUACACUAACAUCUGUAGUAGUGCUCGACAGAACUGACACCACGAAUGUUGCACGGCUGUCCAUAAGAGUGUAAGGGGUGGAAAUCUCUUCUGAACAGCACGUUGCAAGGCAUCCCAGAUACGCUCAGUGUUCAUCUCUGAGAAGUUUGAUGGCCAGCAGAAGUGUUUAAACUCGGAAGAGUGUUCCUGGAGCCACUCUAGCAAUUCUGUUUGUGUGGGGUGUCACAUUGUCCUGAUGGAACUGCUAAAGUCUAUCGGAAUGCACAAUAGACACAAAUGGAUGCAGGUAAUCAGACAGGAUGCUUACUUACAUGUCACCUGUUAUAAUUGAUGCACCGGGGGCCCCAUAUCACUUCAACUGCAUAUGCCCCACACCAUUAGAGAGCUUCCAUCAGCUUGAACAGUCCCCUGCUGACAUGCAGGGUCCAUGGUUUCAUGUCUCCAUACACGUCCAUCAGAUCGAUAAGACUUGAAACGUCCAACUAGGCAAUGUGUUUCAAGUCAUAAACAGUCUGUCAGUGUUGUCAGGCCCAGGCGAGCGUGAAGCUUUGUUGAGGGCCCAGCAUUGAAAUCUGCAGCAAUUUGUGGAAGGGUUACACCUCAGUCACCUUGAAUGAUCCUCUCCAGUUGUCUUUGGUCCCAUUCUUGCAGUAUCUUAUUCCAGCCACAGAGAUUUGAUGUUUUACCGAAUCCCUGAUAUUCACAGUAUACACAUGAAAUGGUCUUUUGGGAAAAUCCCCGAUUCGUCUCGGAGACGCUGUCCCAACGGUCGUCACCCGACUAUAACACCAUGUUCAAACUCACUUAAAUCUUGAUAACCUGCCAUUGUAGCAGCAGUAACAGAUCUAACAACUGCACCAGACACUUGUUGCCUUAAAUAGGCGUUGCUGACUGUAGCGUCGUAAUCUACCUGUUUACAUAUCUCUGUAUUUGAAUACACAUGCCUAUUCAAGUUUCUUUGGUGCUUCAGUGUACAUCUAGCAACAGCCAAAUCCAAAAGCGUCAAUGGAGAGCUUACUAAGAGUGUAGUUCUCCUGCUCGUCAACAAACAAAAUUACUCAGAUGUGCUGUAAUAUGUUAAUUUGUCUUUAAGUUUAAUUGAUGUUGGUCAACUUCACCAUGAGGAAAGUAAAGUUGCCCGGUCAUUGCAAGAGCGAAGCUGUGUGCAGGUGUAGAUAUACCUGCAGUUGCAGGGAGUGAGAAAUGUUUUUUGUGCUGCCAACUCAUAGGCAUGUAUGCCUCAUACAGAUCAGCUGCUAUUGUAUAAAUUUGAAAUGGAAGUAACAUGACUUCGCCAUUGUGCAUUACAGAGGCUGUCCCCUUCAAAUGUGAUACAUACUUGUAGCAAGGAAUAUGAAAUAAAAUUGACACUAUUCCGAUACAUUAUUCUGUUUUCUUUUUUUUUUUUUUUAAUCUUUAUUAUCUGUAUAUGCAAUAUCAUGUUGUCUGCAUGCAUCAUCUAGACGAUUUAUUCCUUGAACGCCUUCAGCUAAUCUUUUUUCUGAUUUUGUUCCUGGACCACAACAAUUAUGACCAGAGGUAUGCAUUUUGAAUGGUAAUUUAUUAAUUAAAGUAUUAACUAAUACUUUUCCAUAUUAUACAUUUUCCUAAAAUGUAUGUGACAA